RNAcentral lists this long non-coding RNA (1239 nucleotides) under Anolis carolinensis (green anole). RNAcentral's name for it is "lncRNA (ENSACAG00000034744.1)". Lineage: Eukaryota; Metazoa; Chordata; Lepidosauria; Squamata; Anolidae. The record is from RNAcentral.
UUAGACACAUAUACACUGAAUUUUGUAUAUUAUCGUAAGGUGUCAUGGAACCAAGUCCCAGGGCUGAAUUUCCAAGCCCUGGACUUGGAGUCAUAACAUAAAUAACCCUGAAAACACCUGGCGGGAGAAGAUAUAAUGAGCCUGGGAACUCAGGGUUGAAAGUAUAAACAAUCAUAAUUGGUAUAGUGUGUGGGAAUAGUAGAAAUGUGAGACAAAGGGGUGGGGUUUGAUGAUGAUAUUUGCGUGUGGUGUUACGUUGCAUCAGAGGUGAUAAAAAUGAGUGUAUGUAAACAUUAGGUCAUUCUCGACUUUUCCAAAGUCAUGUAUUCUUCAAUAAAGAUUGGAUUUGAGAGCAGCUAUCUCUGAUCUGCGUUCAGACUGGUCCUUUGAAUCUUGAUUGUCUAACAGCUAUGUCUCUGUCUGAUUUCAAGAAUAUCUCUGUGCAUGUGUUGGAUCACAAUCCACACCAUUCUCAACCAAAGUAGGUAAAUUAUAAUAGCUGGGAUGGUGGGAUUUAUUAUUUAACACACGGGAAGAGUGCUACAUUGGGGAAAGCAGAACACUGUGUAUGAGGGAAAAUACUCCAAACCUACAAGAGAGCAAGAAAUGAGGACAGGGUGAAUUGAGGAAUUUAAAAAAUCUUUUCCUUUUUCUUCUGUAUUCCAAGGUAUAAGAUUGCUGUUGGCACAUCCAUUACCAAGACUUCACAUCUUUAAAGGGAAGUCUGACAAACCAGCACACACAAAUCAUUUUUACAAGGGAGGAGAAAUCCAUGCAUUUAGUUCUUCAGGUCAUCAUAGAAUCUUGGUCAAUAAUGCAAUCAGUGCAAUUGCACAAUUCCAGCAUUUAAAACCAAACAAAUAAAAAGACAAAUAUAAAAAUAAAAUAAAAGGAAAACAGUCUGCUUGGAAAUAGUGAUGAGGAGAGAAGAAUAAACCCACCUUUUGAUGUCCUCUUACUGCUGGCAAACUGGCACAUAAGUUGAAAGGACUCCUCACAAUAAGGUAGGUGAGACAAGCAUGGCAAAAUUGGGAGCUAUUGAUAAGUUUUAUCUAUUAAUAGUUAGUGAUGAGAGGAUCAUGGGGAGGAGGGAGACCAAUAGCAAGAUGUAUAAUAAGAUAGUGUGAUAGUCCAGCUGCAAUGUCAGUCUUGCUGCCUCAUGUGAUAAAGUCUUAAGCAUGACUAAAUCUGGAUCCAACCUGCAUGUCUAGAUGGCUCAUUGAUAUGUGCCAAAAAAGC